This 207-nucleotide ribosomal RNA is filed under the name uncultured eukaryote. Its description in RNAcentral is "partial 18S ribosomal RNA". It matches the Rfam family "Eukaryotic small subunit ribosomal RNA", at positions 1299 to 1458 of the family's 1831-position model. The record is from RNAcentral.
UGGUGGAGUGAUUUGUCUGGUUAAUUCCGAUAACGAACGAGACCUCAGCCUGCUAAAUAGUAGGAUUAAUGUCCUAAUGGUUGAAGCGGUUGGUUUGUGGAGGGGUCUUUGAUCCUUUCAUGCCCGGCCGUGGAAGCUUGGACAAUUAGUUUAUACUUCUUAGAGGGACUAUUCAUGUUUAAUGUAUGGAAGUUUGAGGCAAUAACA